UAACCUGCCCAAGAGACUGGGAUAACACCUGGAAACAGAUGCUAAUACCGGAUAACAACACUAGACGCAUGUCUAGAGUUUGAAAGAUGGUUCUGCUAUCACUCUUGGAUGGACCUGCGGUGCAUUAGCUAGUUGGUAAGGUAACGGCUUACCAAGGCAAUGAUGCAUAGCCUAGUUGAGAGACUGAUCGGCCACAUUGGGACUGAGACACGGCCCAAACUCCUACGGGAGGCAGCAGCC
Molecule: ribosomal RNA, 240 nt
Filed under: uncultured bacterium
Lineage: Bacteria
Description: partial 16S ribosomal RNA
Rfam family: Bacterial small subunit ribosomal RNA
Source: RNAcentral